This 253-nucleotide ribosomal RNA is filed under the name uncultured bacterium. RNAcentral's name for it is "partial 16S ribosomal RNA". It matches the Rfam family "Bacterial small subunit ribosomal RNA", at positions 524 to 776 of the family's 1533-position model. The record is from RNAcentral.
GACGGAGGAUGCAAGUGUUAUCCGGAAUCACUGGGCGUAAAGCGUCUGUAGGUGGUUCGAAAAGUCCACUGUUAAAAAUUGAGGCUUAACUUCAAAGAUGCCGUGGAAACUUUCAAACUAGAGUGUGGUAGGGGUAGAGGGAAUUUCCAGUGGAGCGGUGAAAUGCGUAGAUAUUGGAAAGACCACCGAUGGCGAAGGCACUCUACUGGGCCAUUACUGACACUGAGAGACGAAAGCUAGGGGAGCAAAUGGG